Molecule: transfer RNA, 86 nt
Filed under: Candidatus Wallbacteria bacterium
Lineage: Bacteria; Candidatus Walliibacteriota
Description: tRNA-Leu
Rfam family: tRNA
About the family: Transfer RNA (tRNA) molecules are approximately 80 nucleotides in length. Their secondary structure includes four short double-helical elements and three loops (D, anti-codon, and T loops). Further hydrogen bonds mediate the characteristic L-shaped molecular structure. tRNAs have two regions of fundamental functional importance: the anti-codon, which is responsible for specific mRNA codon recognition, and the 3' end, to which the tRNAs corresponding amino acid is attached (by aminoacyl-tRNA synthetases). tRNAs cope with the degeneracy of the genetic code in two manners: having more than one tRNA (with a specific anti-codon) for a particular amino acid; and 'wobble' base-pairing, i.e. permitting non-standard base-pairing at the 3rd anti-codon position.
Source: RNAcentral
GCCGGGGUGGCGAAACUGGUAGACGCGGGGGACUUAAAAUCCCUUGGACCUCACGGUCCGUGCCGGUUCGAUUCCGGCCCUCGGCA